AUUGAACGCUGGCGGCAUGCUUUACACAUGCAAGUCGAACGGCAGCACGGGCUUCGGCCUGGUGGCGAGUGGCGAACGGGUGAGUAAUGCAUCGGAACGUACCGUGUAAUGGGGGGAUAACGUAGCGAAAGUUACGCUAAUACCGCAUACGCCCUGAGGGGGAAAGUGGGGGACCGCAAGGCCUCACGUUAUACGAGCGGCCGAUGUCGGAUUAGCUAGUUGGUGGGGUAAAGGCCUACCAAGGCGACGAUCCGUAGCGGGUCUGAGAGGAUGAUCCGCCACACUGGGACUGAGACACGGCCCAGACUCCUACGGGAGGCAGCAGUGGGGAAUUUUGGACAAUGGGCGCAAGCCUGAUCCAGCCAUGCCGCGUGAGUGAAGAAGGCCUUCGGGUUGU
Molecule: ribosomal RNA, 397 nt
Filed under: uncultured bacterium
Lineage: Bacteria
Description: bacterial SSU rRNA
Rfam family: Bacterial small subunit ribosomal RNA
Source: RNAcentral